Acanthosepion pharaonis is the source of this 106-nucleotide non-coding RNA. NCBI's taxonomy places the organism in Eukaryota, Metazoa, Mollusca, Cephalopoda, Sepiida, Sepiidae. The record is from the annotation of a GenBank genome assembly.
UACAGCCAUAUUAUGUUGAAACACUAAUUCCCGUAUGAUCAUUGAAGCAAUGUUGAGCCUGGUCAGUACUUAGAUGGGUGACCACUUGGGAAUACCAGGUCCUGUA